CCCUUAGAUGUUCUGGGCCGCACGCGCGCUACGCUGAUGCAUUCAACGAGUUUCUUCCUGGUCCGAGAGGAAUGGGUAACCUUUUGAAAGUGCAUCGUGAUAGGGAUAGACUAUUGCAAUUAUUGGUCUUCAACGAGGAAUUCCUAGUAGACGUAGUUCAUCAGACUGCAUCGAUUACGUCCCUGCCCUUUGUACACACCGCCCGUCGCUCCUACCGAUUGAAUGCUCAGGUGAGCCAUUCGGACCUUCAUCAUGCCGGUUUCCGGUUUUGAUGAGGGAAAGUCUUGCGAACCUUAUCAUUUAGAGGAAGGAGAAGUCGUAACA
RNAcentral lists this ribosomal RNA (324 nucleotides) under uncultured eukaryote. RNAcentral's name for it is "partial 18S ribosomal RNA". It matches the Rfam family "Eukaryotic small subunit ribosomal RNA", at positions 1470 to 1796 of the family's 1831-position model. The record is from RNAcentral.